CCUACGGGAGGCAGCAGUGGGGAAUAUUGGGCAAUGGAGGAAACUCUGACCCAGCGACGCCGCGUGCGGGAUGAAGGCCUUCGGGUUGUAAACCGCUUUCAGCAGGGAAGAAGCGAAAGUGACGGUACCUGCAGAAGAAGCACCGGCUAACUAUGUGCCAGCAGCCGCGGUAAUACAUAGGGUGCAAGCGUUGUCCGGAAUUAUUGGGCGUAAAGAGCUCGUAGGUGGUUCGUCACGUCGGAUGUGAAAAUCUGGGGCUUAACCCCAGACCUGCAUUCGAUACGGGCGAGCUUGAGUAUGGUAGGGGAGUCUGGAAUUCCUGGUGUAGCGGUGGAAUGCGCAGAUAUCAGGAGGAACACCAAUGGCGAAGGCAGGACUCUGGGCCAUUACUGACACUGAGGAGCGAAAGCGUGGGGAGCGAACAGGAUUAGAUACCCUGGUAGUCCACGCCGUAAACGGUGGGCACUAGUUGUGGGGACCUUCCACGGUCUCUGCGACGCAGCUAACGCAUUAAGUGCCCCGCCUGGGGAGUACGAUCGCAAGAUUAAAACUUAAAUGAAUUGACGGCUGAGACGUGCGAGACGACGACGAGGGAGAG
RNAcentral lists this ribosomal RNA (598 nucleotides) under uncultured bacterium. RNAcentral's name for it is "bacterial SSU rRNA". It matches the Rfam family "Bacterial small subunit ribosomal RNA", at positions 338 to 946 of the family's 1533-position model. The record is from RNAcentral.